AGUGAACGCUGGCGGUAGGCCUAACACAUGCAAGUCGAACGGCAGCACAGUAAGAGCUUGCUCUUACGGGUGGCGAGUGGCGGACGGGUGAGGAAUACAUCGGAAUCUACUUUUUCGUGGGGGAUAACGUAGGGAAACUUACGCUAAUACCGCAUACGACCUACGGGUGAAAGCAGGGGAUCUUCGGACCUUGCGCGAUUGAAUGAGCCGAUGUCGGAUUAGCUAGUUGGCGGGGUAAAGGCCCACCAAGGCGACGAUCCGUAGCUGGUCUGAGAGGAUGAGCAGCCACACUGGAACUGAGACACGGUCCAGACUCCUACGGGAGGCAGCAGUGGGGAAUAUUGGACAAUGGGCGAAAGCCUGAUCCAGCCAUACCGCGUGGGUGAAGAAGGCCUUCGGGUUGUAAAGCCCUUUUGUUGGGAAAGAAAAGCAGCAGGUUAAUACCCCGCUGUUCUGACGGUACCCAAAGAAUAAGCACCGGCGAACUUCG
RNAcentral lists this ribosomal RNA (490 nucleotides) under uncultured bacterium. RNAcentral's name for it is "partial 16S ribosomal RNA". It matches the Rfam family "Bacterial small subunit ribosomal RNA", at positions 29 to 505 of the family's 1533-position model. The record is from RNAcentral.